UACGUAGGUGGCGAGCGUUGUCCGGAUUUAUUGGGCGUAAAGCGCGCGCAGGUGGUGCGGUAAGUCUGCCGUGAAAUCUCCCGGCUCAACUGGGAGGGGGCGGUGGAGACUGCCGGACUAGAGGGACUCAGAGGCCGGUGGAAUUCCCGGUGUAGCGGUGAAAUGCGUAGAUAUCGGGAGGAAUACCUAUGGCGAAAGCAGGUUUCUGGGCCGUCACUGACGCUGAUCUGCGAAAGCUAGGGGAGCAAACAGG
This 253-nucleotide ribosomal RNA is filed under the name uncultured bacterium. RNAcentral's name for it is "partial 16S ribosomal RNA". It matches the Rfam family "Bacterial small subunit ribosomal RNA", at positions 524 to 776 of the family's 1533-position model. The record is from RNAcentral.